Molecule: long non-coding RNA, 679 nt
Organism: Nymphaea colorata (pocket water lily)
Lineage: Eukaryota; Viridiplantae; Streptophyta; Magnoliopsida; Nymphaeales; Nymphaeaceae
Exons: 3
Source: RefSeq, a predicted model, not a curated record
GUUGGCAUCGAUGCUCUGGAUAUAUAAAGGAGGAAGGCAGAACAAUGAACACCCAUCAGAGCAACAAAGGUCUCUCCACGCUUGCAUGGCUACCAUGGCGAUUCGGUGCAUCUUCACCGCUUUCUUGCUUUUAUCUCUUCAUCUCCUAUCAACUCUAGCAGCCGCUUCUCCGUCUUCCUCCAACAAAAUUUCUGCUUUAUCCCCAGUUUCUGUGCAGGGCAGGGACACCGCCACUGGAAUAGCGCAGGCAAAGCCAAGGAAAUUGAAAGGGGGUGGAGGGAGAGGUGGAGGCAGAGGGAGGAGUAUUGGACGGCGUGGAUUCUUUCACCGCACCGGAGCUUAUGGCAAUAGUUCUGCGGCUCAAAGAAGAAACUGCUUGGGGAUGACGACGCUCACGGUGUUGACAGCCAGCUUGAUGGUUACCCUUCUCCUAUAGGAAGCAUUUAGGCCUUCUGACCUGUGAUGUAUAGGGGGUGGCCGAUGGCAGUUCGUCUGGUUCCAUUUGAAAUCCUCUUCAACGGAAUUUGAAAUGUUCCACAGAUGACAACUAUGAAGACGGAAACCUGGACCUGCUCAACUACUUUGGCCUCCCCAACAGAUUGUAUUCAUCUCCAUUAUACUAUUCACUUCCACAUCAAGAGACAACUAAAUGCUGCCCAACCAGCCAAGAAAAGGUCCG